RNAcentral lists this RNase P RNA (331 nucleotides) under uncultured Faecousia sp. Its description in RNAcentral is "Bacterial RNase P class A". It matches the Rfam family "Bacterial RNase P class A". Rfam says of the family: Ribonuclease P (RNase P) is a ubiquitous endoribonuclease, found in archaea, bacteria and eukarya as well as chloroplasts and mitochondria. Lineage: Bacteria; Bacillati; Bacillota; Clostridia; Eubacteriales; Oscillospiraceae. The record is from RNAcentral.
AGGUCGGACAGCCGCGGGGGGAGGCCGAAAGGCCCCCCGUGAGGAAAGUCCGGGCUCCACAGGGCAAGGAUAACGGGUAACGCCCGCCGGGGGUGACCCCAGGACAAGUGCAACAGAGAGAUACCGCCUCCCCUGGGAGGUAAGGGUGAAAAGGUGCGGUAAGAGCGCACCCGCCUCAUGGAGACAUCGGGGCGCUGUAAACUCUAUCCGGAGCAACACCGUGUGUGGGACAAUGGGCUGGCCCGGCCGUCCCCAAGAGGUGGCUGGAACCCGGGAGCAAUCCCGGGUCUAGAUAGAUGGCUGUCAGAACAGAACCCGGCUUACGGACCUG